This 334-nucleotide ribosomal RNA is filed under the name uncultured eukaryote. RNAcentral describes it as "partial 18S ribosomal RNA". It matches the Rfam family "Eukaryotic small subunit ribosomal RNA", at positions 1470 to 1796 of the family's 1831-position model. The record is from RNAcentral.
CCCUUAGAUGUCCGGGGCCGCACGCGCGCUACACUGGGGCACGUAGCGUGCGUAUUGUCACCUGGUAUCCAAUGCGUACCGGGAAACCAUAGAAAUGUGCAUCUCGUUACUGGGAUAGGGCAUUGUAAUGAUGCUCUUGAACGAGGAAUUCCUAGUAAACGCAGAUCAUCAAUCUGCAUUGAUUACGUCCCUGCCCUUUGUACACAUCGCCCGUCGCACCUACCGAUUGAAUGGUCCGGUGAAGCCUCGGGAUUGUGGCCAGUUCACUUUAUUGGGAGUUGGCUGCGAGAACUUGUCUAAACCUUAUCAUUUAGAGGAAGGUGAAGUCGUAACA